UUGAGUUGAGAUUCACGCAAAUUCCAUCGAGUCUUGUCUCUAACACCGGAUCAAAUGACGAGAAGCUGCAAUACCCAUUACCCGGAUCGACGAUGGAUCAAUUUCUCAUUAACGAGGGUUGAUCUUCUUGCUCUAUCGAAGCUUUUCCCCCUGAAUCAACUAGAUCCCUUACCAAAGGAAAAACAGAGCUUUCUUGGAAGUCAUGAAAGCCUCUGCAUUGAAACCCAUCAAAAUUUUUACAGGUCUGUAGAUUCUCUGCACUGUCGUCUUCAAGAUUUCUUUGAUCAUUAGUUGAUGGAUCUGAUUCGUUAUAUACACUUGAAGCUGUUAUCAUAUUAUUUGUGAUAGAACUGUAGGUGUUUGUCGUAGUUACAUAUUAACAUUUGGACUGCUUAUGCUAGAGACAUGUUUAGCUCUGUUUUGUUAGGUUGAUAAUCUACUAUAAUGGCUAAAUAGUUGUGCUCCUUCUCUCAAUAUCAGCAUUGGGUUGGUCACAUUGUUCUAAAAGGUUCCAGAGUUCAAACCCUGGUUUCAUUUGUUUAAUUUUUGCCAGUGUCUGUUCAUUUUUGGUCAUCAAUUCUCCCUUGCCAUACACAAGAAGUUAUAUUAAUCAAUCCCAUGAAACAAAGAACUUUGUGAAAACUGCACUCCAUAAUUAAAAGGAAGAAAAACAAGAGUCAUAAAAUUUUAUUGAUGUUGACACUACCUACAUAGAUAUUAAGCUUCACUACGGGAAAAUUAACAAAUGUGAUAUAUGACUAAAUCCUUGUGCAGACAACAACAGAAUGAUAAUCGAGAUCCU
This 802-nucleotide long non-coding RNA is filed under the name Vitis vinifera (wine grape). Its description in RNAcentral is "long non-coding RNA (VVIN_LNC001363)". Lineage: Eukaryota; Viridiplantae; Streptophyta; Magnoliopsida; Vitales; Vitaceae. The record is from RNAcentral.